UGGAAGGUGCGGCUCCCGGGUGACUGGAGACCCUUCAGAAUGUGAGGGCUGCGUCAUGCCAGAUGUGCUGGGGCAGUCCUGUUCCCACGGUCAUGUGACCCGGGGUGGCACUGGUGCCGAUGAGGGUCACAGACGAGCGUCUCUGAGGGAAAGACUCCACUCUCUGGGCCAAGUCUGCAUCCCUGACUCUCGGGGGACAGUGCCUACACAGUUGGUCGACUGUCGGCAAGGAAAUCUGUGGCUGUCCAUCCUGUCACCUCCUCCCCACCAUCUUUCGCAUAUGGUCUCAUCUCUUGCUUGGGAGAGAAAUCCCUCAGCCUUUGCCUUGAGCCCUUCCGCAGCCCUCAUUUGGUUACUGCGAGGGCCGCCUCCCUUCCCCACUGCCCCACACCCCCGCUCCUAUCCUCUCCCACCGGUGUCUUUAGCUUUGACUGUGCUCCUGUCUCCUCCUUUCCCUCGUCCCUCGUCAGCUCUCUCUUCAGCUACGUCUUGACAGAGCGAGGGUCUGUGAUCUUCUGCGCGGUUUCCUUUCCUUGCGUCUACUCCUCCACCUUCUGCCACCAGUGAAGGUCAUCGGGGCUCACUGUGGCAUACCGUUAAUAGGCCUCCUUCCCUUACCCCAGGCCUCACCCUGGACGGCUUUUCCACACCCGUGGCUGCGGUUAACUAGGCGCUCACUGCUGAGCUGAUGUCUCUAGCUCAGAUUUGCCCUCGGAGCCCCAGAUACAGCUGUCUAGUCAGCGCACUCGGCGCAUCUCACUGCCGCGUGUUCAAACCUAGACUUCCCUUUCUUGUUCUGCCCCCACUCUCCUCUCUGGGCCUUGUCCGGAGCUAUUUAGUUUGGCAGAUGGUACCACCGCCCAUCUACCUUUCUUUGUGGUCAGAGAAUUAGUAUGGAUGAAAGAGUAUUUUUUUUAAAGGAGUUGGAAAGCUUAAGAAAUUAUAUCAAGCUCUUCUUUCACAAGAAAAAUGCUUGCAUUUGCCUUUUUUUUUUUUUUAAAGAAAUGAUCAGUUCUGGUACAUGUUGCUAUUAAAAUUUAAGGAAGUGCAUGGUUUCUUUGGCAAGAACAUGGGCUGAAUUGAAUUAAAAUGGUAUAACUUGUAAGUAUAAUUUUCUAAUUUUCAUUCUGAAAUGGUUUGGUCGAAAUCACACAGCAAUCUAGCUAUUCAUCUGCCUCUACCCUCAACCUCCAUUAAUUUUUGAGUCUCCUACUAUUUGCCAUGAUUGGUUUACUUAAGGUCACAAAGGAGAAUUUGUUUCUGAUAGGAAAGGUGUUAUAAGUUAGGAGUGUACAUCUUUGUGAGCCAGAGAGGGGCAGUUUUUAAGCAUUCUGAAGCAAAAUGUCCAGAUGAAGAACUGAUUUUCUUUUAAGGUUUCAGUUUGGAGUCUAAUCAUCUUUAGCCUGGGGAAGCAUUUCUUAUUCUGGGGUACAUGAUUUCUAAUUUUCUCCCAUUAAUUUCCUUCCUGUUGCUUUCAGAUUUGUUUCUGUGAAGAAUUUGUGUGUGUGUGUAUGUGUGUGUGUGUGUGCGCGCCAAAGAUAUUACCAAGCAUUUUUGCUGCAGGUGAGUAUCAGUGGGAUGGAAUGAUACUAUGCAUGGUCCGGAAGUCACCAAUGCAGUGACCUUCAUGUCACAGAACCAGUUUUGUUCCCCAUUGAUAGGCACUAAAGCAGGCCUGUCCUGCCACAUGACCAUGGACAUCUGUCUCUCCUUAUACUGGAAAAUGCUAAAGACAGCAAAGUACAGUGGCACUCCGGCACUUUAAUUUUACUUUCAUCGCUGAAUUUGGUGAGACACAAAACCCCUAUGUCAGUGGUACGGCAAAGGCCUUGUUCAUGGAAGUGCAGCAUCAUGAAAAGCUCUGGUGUGCCCAGCAGCAGUGUGCAGCUGCACGACAGGACAGAGCUCCAAAGGCUCAGCGAGGUUGUGUAGCAUAUGGCCAGGCCGGAGAAGCCACGGCUCAGUGGGAGGCUGGUGGGGAAGUUUUAUUUCUGGGAAGUGGUCAGGUUGGUUUUGUGGCUGGGUAUAGAAGAAAAGAACUAAAGCAGUGUCAACAUGGCACGAGACGCUCAAGGUGGCCGACGUUCCUUCUAAUAUUUGAAAGCAGAUUUUGGCAGGACAAGUCCCUUCAGCCUGCAGCUGGGUGAGCCCAUUGGCAUUUUCAUUACAAGCACCUGAUGCUUUUCAUUCCUUGUGUGUGUAAGUGAUUUCAAGGAAUUCGUGUUUUGUGAUCUCUUUUUGAAAAGUAUAGUGGCCAUGAAUAUCUUUGAAAUGUAGAAUUGUGAUGGUAAACAAAAAACAGCUCUUGAUCCCCUGAAAGAAGGAGGGUCUGGACGUGAGGCAGCGGAUUUGGCUUUGCUGCUUUGGUGAAAAGUCCCCUGUGUCAUGAGCACUUGUAGCUUUCUGUGUCCCCCGCCCCGUUUGUCAGGCCUGCCAGCCAGUAAUCCCCAAAAACCAUUUGAUGCACUGACGGCAUGCAAAGGUGUCGGUUUGGCCAGGCCCAGGACCAUGACUUAUACUCCUUUACCUUUUUAAGAGAUCUUGACCAAAAAAAAAAAAAAAAAAAAAAAAAAAAAAAAAAAAAAAAAAAAAAAAAAAAAGGAGCAGACUGUGGAAUGCAUUCGGUUAGCACUGAGGAAAUGUAAGAGGAGUGUGUGUGAGAACACGCGUGUGUGUUUUCAGCAAGGGAACAUCCUGUUUUCGUGGGGAGGAGCUUACCGCCGGGUUGGUGUAGCUCCUAGUCCGUCACCUGGCCCUUCGAGUGAGCGAGGUCCGUCUUUCAGUUCAAGGCUUUGCUGUCCCCGUAACGGAUGCUGCUGAGAAACUAGCAGCGCCUUUGCCCGCUGGCUGUCCUGGACGCGCUGCCGGGCACCGCUCGCCAAGGGCAGCGGGCCGCCGGCGGCCGUGAUGCAGCCGUGGCAGACUCCGUGCGCACAGAAGCCGGAUGGUACAAAACAGAAAAGAGAGCGGAAGAAGACCGUCUCGUUCAGUAGCAUGCCCACAGAGAAGAAGAUCAGCAGUGCAAGUGAUUGCAUCAAUUCGAUGGUCGAGGGUUCAGAACUCAAAAAGGUUCGCUCCAACUCCAGGAUUUACCAUAGGUAUUUUUUACUGGAUGCUGACAUGCAGAGCCUGAGGUGGGAACCAUCUAAGAAAGAUUCUGAGAAAGCCAAGAUUGAUAUUAAAUCCAUCAAGGAAGUGAGAACAGGAAAAAAUACAGACAUAUUCCGCAGCAAUGGCAUUUCUGACCAGAUAUCUGAAGAUUGUGCGUUUUCAGUCAUAUACGGAGAGAAUUAUGAGUCACUUGAUUUGGUUGCCAACUCUGCAGAUGUUGCGAACAUCUGGGUUACGGGACUGCGGUACCUAAUUUCUUACGGAAAACAUACACUUGAUAUGUUAGAAAGUAGCCAAGACAACAUGAGGACUUCUUGGGUUUCACAAAUGUUUAGUGAAAUUGAUGUAGAUAACCUUGGACAUAUAACUCUGUGUAAUGCUGUGCAGUGUAUCAGAGACCUCAAUCCUGGUUUAAAAACUAGCAAAAUUGAGCUUAAGUUCAAAGAAUUGCACAAAUCCAAGGACAAAGCUGGUACUGAAGUCACAAAGGAAGAAUUUGUUGAGGUUUUCCAUGAGCUUUGUACCAGACCUGAAAUUUAUUUCCUUUUAGUUCAGUUUUCAAGCAAUAAAGAAUUUCUUGAUACCAAGGACCUUAUGAUGUUUCUUGAGGCAGAGCAGGGUGUGGCACAUAUAAAUGAGGAAAUAAGCCUUGAAAUUAUUAAUAAAUAUGAGCCAUCCAAAGAAGGUCAGGAAAAGGGCUGGCUUUCCAUAGAUGGGUUUACUAAGUACCUUAUGUCCCCCGACUGUUAUAUAUUUGAUCCAGAACAUAAGAAGGUCUGUCAAGAUAUGAAGCAACCUUUGUCUCAUUAUUUUAUAAACUCAUCUCAUAAUACAUACUUAAUAGAGGAUCAGUUCCGAGGUCCCUCUGACAUCACGGGAUACAUCCGAGCUCUUAAAAUGGGUUGCCGGAGUGUUGAGUUAGAUGUAUGGGAUGGGCCAGAUAAUGAACCUGUAAUUUACACGGGCCACACCAUGACCUCUCAGAUAGUCUUCCGCAGCGUCAUUGAUAUUAUUAACAAGUAUGCGUUCUUUGCUUCGGAGUAUCCUCUUAUCUUGUGUUUAGAAAAUCACUGUUCUAUUAAACAGCAGAAGGUAAUGGUUCAGCACAUGAAGAAAAUUUUAGGGGACAAGCUCUAUACAACGUCACCCAACAUGGAGGAAUCUUACCUACCAUCCCCAGAUGUCCUAAAAGGGAGGAUACUCAUUAAAGCCAAGAAGCUGUCCUCAAGUUGCUCUGGCGUAGAAGGGGAUGUUACGGACGAAGACGAAGGGGCAGAAAUGUCUCAGAGGAUAGGCAAAGAGAACGUGGAACAGCCCAACAACGUGCCUGUGAAGCGAUUUCAGCUCUGUAAAGAACUGUCUGAACUCGUGAGCAUCUGUAAGUCUGUUCAGUUCAAAGAAUUUCAGGUAUCAUUUCAGGCUCAGAAGUACUGGGAAGUCUGUUCGUUUAAUGAAGUGCUGGCCAGCAAAUACGCCAAUGAAAAUCCAGGGGACUUUGUAAAUUACAACAAACGUUUUCUCGCCAGGGUCUUCCCCAGCCCAAUGAGAAUUGACUCCAGUAACAUGAACCCUCAAGAUUUUUGGAAGUGUGGUUGUCAGAUCGUAGCCAUGAACUUUCAGACCCCAGGCCUGAUGAUGGACCUGAAUAUUGGCUGGUUUAGGCAGAACGGAAACUGCGGCUACGUCCUUCGGCCGGCCAUCAUGAGAGAGGAAGUGUCUUUCUUCAGCGCCAACACGAAAGACUCCGUCCCAGGAGUCUCACCGCAGCUUCUUCACAUUAAAAUCAUCAGCGGGCAGAACUUUCCCAAACCCAAAGGAUCAGGUGCCAAAGGAGAUGUGGUGGAUCCUUACGUCUAUGUGGAGAUUCACGGAAUCCCUGCCGACUGUGCAGAACAAAGGACAAAAACCGUGCACCAGAACGGAGAUGCUCCCAUUUUUGAUGAAAGCUUCGAAUUUCAAAUCAACCUACCUGAACUGGCCAUGGUGCGCUUUGUAGUACUAGAUGAUGACUACAUCGGGGAUGAGUUCAUCGGCCAGUACACAAUCCCCUUUGAAUGCUUACAGACAGGCUACCGCCACGUCCCCCUGCAGUCAUUGACUGGAGAGGUCCUGGCGCACGCUUCUUUGUUUGUCCACGUGGCUAUUACUAACCGAAGAGGAGGAGGGAAGCCUCAUAAAAGGGGCCUUUCCGUGAGAAAAGGGAAGAAAUCCAGGGAGUAUGCAUCUUUAAGAACACUGUGGAUUAAAACUGUGGAUGAGGUGUUCAAGAAUGCCCAGCCGCCUAUCCGGGAUGCCACAGACCUGAGAGAGAACAUGCAGAAUGCCGUGGUAUCAUUCAAGGAGCUGUGUGGCCUCUCCUCCGUGGCCAAUCUCAUGCAGUGCAUGUUGGCGGUGUCUCCCCGCUUCCUGGGACCUGAUAACAUGCCCCUGGUGGUCCUGAAUCUGAGCGAGCAGUAUCCCACGAUGGAGUUGCAGGGAAUCGUGCCCGAGGUUCUGAAGAAGAUUGUAACAACUUACGACAUGGUACCUCUUUCCCCCGCCGCUGCAUCGGAGCUCCAGGACGGCAGGGACAGUGUGUGCCCUGCUCACCACCAUGUCUCUGCCACAGAGGAGUUUCCAGAGGCUAGACCUGCAGCUCCUGAAGCUUUGAGACCUUUGCGUGUGUGUUUAGCCUCACUCCAGACUUCAGAGCUGCAGCCUUCGCUGGAUGGAGAGCGUGGCUGCUCCAGUUCAGAAAGGCUGGUUUAAAAUUACGAAGUGAAAAGCAGAAGAUAAGGUUUCCCACCACCUUAACAGAUGAUCCAGUCCCUCAAGGCUGUCAUCGAAAAUGCAGAUGCGGUGUAUGAAAAGAUUGUACAUUGUCAGAGGGCAGCCAUGGAAUUCCACGAGCACUUACACAGCAUCGGCACC
Molecule: RNA transcript, 6021 nt
Organism: Ailuropoda melanoleuca (giant panda)
Lineage: Eukaryota; Metazoa; Chordata; Mammalia; Carnivora; Ursidae
Gene: PLCL2
Gene name: phospholipase C like 2
Exons: 7
Source: RefSeq, a predicted model, not a curated record